RNAcentral lists this ribosomal RNA (460 nucleotides) under uncultured bacterium. Its description in RNAcentral is "partial 16S ribosomal RNA". It matches the Rfam family "Bacterial small subunit ribosomal RNA", at positions 338 to 795 of the family's 1533-position model. The record is from RNAcentral.
CCUACGGGAGGCAGCAGUGAGGAAUAUUGGUCAAUGGACGAGAGUCUGAACCAGCCAAGUAGCGUGAAGGAUGACUGCCCUAUGGGUUGUAAACUUCUUUUAUAUGGGAAUAAAACGUUCCACGUGUGGGAUUUUGUAUGUACCAUAUGAAUAAGGAUCGGCUAACUCCGUGCCAGCAGCUGCGGUAAUACGGAGGAUCCGAGCGUUAUCCGGAUUUAUUGGGUUUAACGGGAGCGUAGGUGGAGUGUUAAGUCAGUUGUGAAUGUUUGCGGCUCAACCGUAAAAUUGCAGUUGAGACUGGCAGUCUUGAGUGCAGCAGAGGUGGGCGGAAGUCGUGGUGUAGCGGUGAAAUGCUUAGAUAUCACGAAGAACUCCGAUGGCGAAGGCAGUUCACUAGACUGCAACUGACACUGAGGCUCGAAAGUGUGGGUAUCAAACAGGAUUAGAUACCCUAGUAGUC